UUAAAAGUUAUUAAGGGCGUAUGGCGGAUGCCUAGGCUCUCAUAGGCUAUGAAGGACGUGACAAGCUGCGAUAAGUUUCGAUAAGAUGCAAAUAAUCUUUG
This 101-nucleotide ribosomal RNA is filed under the name Candidatus Scalindua sp. Its description in RNAcentral is "partial 23S ribosomal RNA". It matches the Rfam family "Bacterial large subunit ribosomal RNA", at positions 1 to 101 of the family's 2925-position model. The record is from RNAcentral. Lineage: Bacteria; Pseudomonadati; Planctomycetota; Candidatus Brocadiia; Candidatus Brocadiales; Candidatus Scalinduaceae.